This 545-nucleotide ribosomal RNA is filed under the name Enterobacter hormaechei. RNAcentral's name for it is "bacterial SSU rRNA". It matches the Rfam family "Bacterial small subunit ribosomal RNA", at positions 915 to 1460 of the family's 1533-position model. Lineage: Bacteria; Pseudomonadati; Pseudomonadota; Gammaproteobacteria; Enterobacterales; Enterobacteriaceae. The record is from RNAcentral.
GGGGGCCCGCACAAGCGGUGGAGCAUGUGGUUUAAUUCGAUGCAACGCGAAGAACCUUACCUACUCUUGACAUCCAGAGAACUUAGCAGAGAUGCUUUGGUGCCUUCGGGAACUCUGAGACAGGUGCUGCAUGGCUGUCGUCAGCUCGUGUUGUGAAAUGUUGGGUUAAGUCCCGCAACGAGCGCAACCCUUAUCCUUUGUUGCCAGCGGUUCGGCCGGGAACUCAAAGGAGACUGCCAGUGAUAAACUGGAGGAAGGUGGGGAUGACGUCAAGUCAUCAUGGCCCUUACGAGUAGGGCUACACACGUGCUACAAUGGCGCAUACAAAGAGAAGCGACCUCGCGAGAGCAAGCGGACCUCAUAAAGUGCGUCGUAGUCCGGAUUGGAGUCUGCAACUCGACUCCAUGAAGUCGGAAUCGCUAGUAAUCGUGGAUCAGAAUGCCACGGUGAAUACGUUCCCGGGCCUUGUACACACCGCCCGUCACACCAUGGGAGUGGGUUGCAAAAGAAGUAGGUAGCUUAACCUUCGGGAGGGCGCUAUCCAC